UGUAUUCAAACCUCAGUUAUGAAUGUCUCUAAUGUGAGCAAUAUAUACAGUUUAUGCAUUUAUUGUCCUUUUCUAAUUUGUACCUUUAUUUAGAGAGUGAUAUGCAAGCUUGUGUCAUUGUAAACAUUGCAGCACAAGGUAAAAUAUUAUAUUUUCAGGCUGCUAUGCAGAAGCAUAAUAAUUAUGAGCAAUCUUUGUUCUUAUAAAAAUGUCCAAUAAUCUUGUGAUGAAUGAUCCUCAUUUCCUGAUAAUACAGCUCUUUUAAGGUCACCAAAAUAACUUCAAAUCUUCAGAAAUGAAGGGUGUAGCACUGACAAGUAGCAAUAAAAACUACACAUAGCCAAAAGUCAUGAUUUAGAGAUCUUUGUGAAAGUGUCAUAAACAGUGUUCUUGGUCUAUAGAAUGAAGAUUUAUCAGCAUUUCCUAUUCAGUGUGUGUAUAUACAGUAACUGGAAAGUCAGCAACAACUGGAAUAUCCAGUAGGAGAGCAGCAGAACAAUUUAUGCUGAUAUAGCUUGUCUGUGAGUCAUAUAAUACCAAGAAGGUGCCAUUGCAUUAUUGUACUUCAGAUUCUGAGAAAUGGGUGACAUUGGGCUAUGGCUGCGUUCAGCACAGAAAACAUUGAUAUGAUGCUUGAAUACAUGACAGCAGUGAAGCAACUGGUGGUGACAGCAGGGAUUUUAUAGACCCUUUUUCAGUUUGUCACUAAGGCUGGAUUACAAGAUUUUGAUUUUAGCAGUUAGAUGUCCAAAACACUGUUCUGCUCUGCCUGGUCUUAGGAGUGAUGUGAUAAAAGUCUCACUGUUCUUUUUUCCUUUUAGGAUUACACUGCUGAAAUUAAUCAUAUAUGAAGCCUCAAUUUAAAUCAAGGCAGAACCUAACAUUGAUUUUCUUGAAGUUAAUUACAGCUCAGUAUUGGACAACGUUACAGCAAAGCUACAUUAAAACUACCCAUGAAGAAUGUAGGUCACUGAGGGUACAGUGCCACCAUACCUUGUUGGUUUCAGCACGUCAGAAGAAACGCUUAGAUACUUAUUCCUGAUUUCUUUGCUACAAAUAAAAAAAUUUGUAUGCUUUUCUGAGUCUUGAAA
Molecule: long non-coding RNA, 1091 nt
Filed under: Anas platyrhynchos platyrhynchos (common mallard)
Lineage: Eukaryota; Metazoa; Chordata; Aves; Anseriformes; Anatidae
Description: lncRNA (ENSAPLG00000023811.1)
Source: RNAcentral